AACGAACGCUGGCGGCGUGCCUAACACAUGCAAGUCGUGCGAGAAAGUUCCUUCGGGAGCGAGUAAAGCGGCGCACGGGUGAGUAACACGUAGGUAACCUGCCCCCCAGUCUGGAACAACUAGAGGAAACUCUAGCUAAUGCCGGAUGAGACCACGAUCCCUUCGGGGGUUGCGGCCAAAGAUGGCCUCUACUUGUAAGCUAUCGCUGAGGGAUGGGCCUGCGGGCCAUUAGCUUGUUGGUGAGGUAACGGCUCACCAAGGCUGUGAUGGCUAGCUGGUCUGAGAGGAUGACCAGCCACACUGGGACUGAGACACGGCCAGACUCCUACGGGAGGCAGCAGUGGGGAAUAUUGCGCAAAUGGGGCGAAAGCCUGACGCAGCGACGCCGCGUGGGUGAUGAAGGCCU
Molecule: ribosomal RNA, 406 nt
Filed under: uncultured bacterium
Lineage: Bacteria
Description: bacterial SSU rRNA
Rfam family: Bacterial small subunit ribosomal RNA
Source: RNAcentral